This 113-nucleotide small nucleolar RNA is filed under the name Echinops telfairi (small Madagascar hedgehog). RNAcentral's name for it is "Small nucleolar RNA SNORA61 (ENSETEG00000025263.1)". Lineage: Eukaryota; Metazoa; Chordata; Mammalia; Afrosoricida; Tenrecidae. The record is from RNAcentral.
AACCGCCAGACUCCUUCCCCUUCGGAUCUAAAUAGUGGUCUGAGGGGCUCAAAAAGGUGGGAGAGUAAAACUGAAGUCUUGGACUUGAAGUCUUUCGUUUGAAACCGACAAAG